This 253-nucleotide ribosomal RNA is filed under the name uncultured bacterium. Its description in RNAcentral is "partial 16S ribosomal RNA". It matches the Rfam family "Bacterial small subunit ribosomal RNA", at positions 524 to 776 of the family's 1533-position model. The record is from RNAcentral.
UACGUAGGGUGCAAGCGUUAAUCGGAAUUACUGGGCGUAAAGCGUGCGCAGGCGGUUAUGUAAGACAGGGGUGAAAUCCCCGGGCUUAACCUGGGAACUGCAUUUGUGACUGCAUAGCUAGAGUACGGUAGAGGGGGAUGGAAUUCCGCGUGUAGCAGUGAAAUGCGUAGAGAUGUGGAGGAAUACCGAUGGCGAAGGCAGCCCCCUGGGAUAACACUGACGCUCAUGCACGAAAGCGUGGGGGGCAAACAGG